AUUAAAAAUUAAGUAUUUCUUUUUCUUGGGAAUUAAGUAUCUGUUUAAUUAAAACAAGAACAGAAAUGCGUUCUCCUUCUUCCUGUUAUCGUUGCCUCUUCAUCUUCUGCUCAUCGCAGCCGCCGCCUCUCUCCGGUCGUUCAAGCGGUUGCGUUCUUCUGCUUUUGUGAACCAUUCUGUUCCAAACACAUCUUCCUUGUCAGUUGCCUCGCCGUCGGAGCAAACCUCCAGUCCCACCGCGCCGCCGCCGUCAUGAUAGAAAACAUUAUCAAAUCCAUCUCAAUAGCACCAUCAAAAUCAACAAACAAUAAUCUAAGAAUCUUAUAGCAGAAUUGUUACAAAAGAUUGAAAUUGUAAUAUGACUUCUGAAAUUGUUGUUGAAAAAAAUCAGAAAGAUUGAAACAUAAUCUGGCAAAAAUCAGCAGAUUUAUCCGACCGGUUACACAGUUGUGGUGGUGUUGCCGAGAGGAAGAGGAAAGAGGCAACGAUAACAGAAGGAUUGUCGGCACCUUUGUGACGGAAGAAAAGAGGAGGAGGCGAAAAGUGACAGACGGCAGCGAUGAAGAAGAUGAAAGG
Molecule: long non-coding RNA, 576 nt
Filed under: Trifolium pratense (red clover)
Lineage: Eukaryota; Viridiplantae; Streptophyta; Magnoliopsida; Fabales; Fabaceae
Description: long non-coding RNA (TPRA_LNC006226)
Source: RNAcentral